Molecule: long non-coding RNA, 1080 nt
Filed under: Pavo cristatus (Indian peafowl)
Lineage: Eukaryota; Metazoa; Chordata; Aves; Galliformes; Phasianidae
Description: lncRNA (ENSPSTG00000017283.1)
Source: RNAcentral
AUGAAAACGAGGGGAGGAGGGGAGAAGAAGGAACAGUGGGAAGGAGAAGGAAUGAGUGAACCUGCCGCCUCGCUCCGCGCAGGGCAGCCCCACGGCCCCCGCCCGCCCCCGGGGCACACCUCAUGCUGUAGGCGCCGGCUCCCAGCUCCUGCCCGAUGCCGGAGAGGCUGGCGUCGAAGUCGUGCACCAGCCCGGACUCGAUCACCUCAUCCAUCUUCAGCACCCACGCCAUCUUCCGCCGCCCCCCGCGCUCCCGCGGCGCCGCGGGAGGAGCCGGACGGGGAGGAGCCGCUCGGCCCCGGAGCCUCCGCCGGGAGGCGGCGUCUCGGCGGGCGGCGUGGGGCGGGAGGAAGCGAGAGGGGCCGGGGGCGGCGCGGAGCCGGGGUGGGACGGAGAAACGCGUGCGGGACGAGGGAGCGGCCGCGCUCAGCCCCGGGGGGGCCCUUCGCCCGCGGCGCGACCAGGGCGCGGGGCCGCCCUCAGCAUCCUGCGGCCGCCCGGCCGCCGAGGGGAGCUGGGGACCCGGCGGCCGCCGCCUCCUCCCCCUUCCCCUCCUUCCCUGACCGGACACCCCUCAGGGCCGCCGUCCGAGCUCCGACCCAGCUCAGCGGCGCCUCCCGCCGCAUCCUUCGCCUGGGCGGCAGCAGCUACAGCACGGGCACCCGCGGCCCGCUGCCGCCUCACGCCCGCCGCGCGGCGCCAAAGGCCGCCCCUGGGGGGCCCCCGCGCGCCGCUCCCGCCUGCCACCGCCCGUGCACCGCGCCGCCGCUCACGCCAACAUGGCGGCCUCCUCCGCACACCCCCCGCCCCGAGCUGCUGCUGCCGGGGCACAGCCCGCCCACUAUCGGGGCCGCCGAUUGGCUGGCCUACAGCGGAAGGGCCAAUCGGAGUGGAGCGGGGAGAGAUGAGGGGGCGGCGCAGCCAGUCAGCGGGCGCUUCCUCUACACCGGAAGGCGUCACGGAGGAGCAGCCCCGCCCUCGGGCCGGCGCGCAGUGCUGCGGCACGCUUCUUCGUCCGCCCUCGCGCCACGGGACCACUGCAUGCCGGGAGUGGCCUCCCGGAAGCGGAAAGGGAAGUGA